Molecule: transfer RNA, 73 nt
Filed under: Candidatus Aerophobota bacterium
Lineage: Bacteria; Candidatus Aerophobota
Also listed under: 1 other name
Description: tRNA-Thr
Rfam family: tRNA
About the family: Transfer RNA (tRNA) molecules are approximately 80 nucleotides in length.
Source: RNAcentral
GCCCAUGUAGCUCAGCAGGUAGAGCACAUCCUUGGUAAGGAUGAGGUCACCGGUUCGAGUCCGGUCGUGGGCU